AUCCCAUGGACAGAGGAGCCUGGAGGGCUACCAUUCAUAGGGUCACAAAGAGUCGGACACAGCUGAAGUGACUUAGCAGGCACGCACGACAGGAAAAUAAUCUGGUCAUCAAAAAGAAAAUGCAGUGGAUAAGAACUAUGCAGUAUUCAUGAACACCUAGAGCCUGAAAAUGAGGAACUUACUAUAUUCUGUGAUAAUGUGAAUUCAUCCAUAAAGCAUUAAGACAUUAAUGUGUGGGCACUAAGAUAGCCCAGAAAAUGAACGCAGGUUCAUGAAACCAGCAGUAAAUUAAGGGGUGGGGGAAGGCCAACGCUCAAAGAAAUCAAAGCGAGAAUAUGAACACACAUGGGAACUACACAACUUCAUAGUCGUUAAGUACCACCAGCCCAGGUGGGAUGCAUGAGACAAGUGCUCUGGCCUGGUGCACUGGGAAGACCCAGAGGAAUCGGGUGGAGAGGGA
Molecule: long non-coding RNA, 460 nt
Organism: Dama dama (fallow deer)
Lineage: Eukaryota; Metazoa; Chordata; Mammalia; Artiodactyla; Cervidae
Exons: 3
Source: RefSeq, a predicted model, not a curated record